GGGCCCGCACAAGCGGAGGAACAUGUGGUUUAAUUCGAUGAUACGCGAGGAACCUUACCCGGGCUUGAAAUGCAUCUGAAUAACCCAGAGACGGGUUAGUCGCAAGACAGAUGUGUAGGUGCUGCAUGGUUGUCGUCAGCUCGUGCCGUGAGGUGUCGGCUUAAGUGCCAUAACGAGCGCAACCCUUACCGUUAGUUACCAUCAGGUCAUGCUGGGUACUCUAGUGGGACUGCCGUCGUAAGAUGUGAGGAAGGUUGGGAUGACGUCAAAUCAGCACGGCCCUUACGUCCGGGGCUACACACGUGUUACAAUGGGGGGUACAGAGAGUUGCUUGCUGGUGACAGUUGGCUAAUCUUUUAAAGCCUCUCUCAGUUCGGAUCGAAGUCUGCAACCCGACUUCGUGAAGCUGGAUUCGCUAGUAAUCGCGCCAUCAGCCACGGCG
This 442-nucleotide ribosomal RNA is filed under the name uncultured Bacteroidota bacterium. RNAcentral's name for it is "bacterial SSU rRNA". It matches the Rfam family "Bacterial small subunit ribosomal RNA", at positions 917 to 1359 of the family's 1533-position model. Lineage: Bacteria; Pseudomonadati; Bacteroidota. The record is from RNAcentral.